AAUGAACGUUGGCGGCGUGGAUUAGGCAUGCAAGUCGAGCGCUCAUAGCAAUAUGGGAGCGGCGAACGGCGUAGGAAUUCAUAGGAACGUACCCUCAGGUCGGGGAUAGCUACGGGAAACUGUAGGUAAUACCCGAUGAUCUCUGCGGAGCAAAGGUGUGAUUCCGCCUGAGGAGCGGCUUAUGUGAUAUUAGCUAGUUGGUGGGGUAAUGGCUUACCAAGGCGAAGAUGUCUAGGGGGUGUGAGAGCAUGGCCCCCACGACCGGAACUGAGAUACUGUCCGGACACCUACGGGUGGCUGCAGUCGAGAAUCUUCCGCAAUGGACGAAAGUCUGACGGAGCGACGCCGCGUGCGGGAUGAAGGCCCUUGGGUUGUAAACCGCUUUCGGAGGGGAUGAAAUCCUCGAGGGUACUCCCUCGAGGUUGACAGAGCCUCAAAAGAAGCACGGGCUAAGUACGUG
RNAcentral lists this ribosomal RNA (460 nucleotides) under uncultured bacterium. Its description in RNAcentral is "bacterial SSU rRNA". It matches the Rfam family "Bacterial small subunit ribosomal RNA", at positions 29 to 507 of the family's 1533-position model. The record is from RNAcentral.